AAAGUUUUAAGUUAAAUUACAAACUAAUAAUCUUCAAAAUUAUAAAUAAAUUAUUAAUAUUUAAGCUUUA
RNAcentral lists this transfer RNA (70 nucleotides) under Molanna truncata. RNAcentral describes it as "tRNA-Trp". Lineage: Eukaryota; Metazoa; Arthropoda; Insecta; Trichoptera; Molannidae. The record is from RNAcentral.